Molecule: non-coding RNA, 27 nt
Filed under: Rattus norvegicus (Norway rat)
Lineage: Eukaryota; Metazoa; Chordata; Mammalia; Rodentia; Muridae
Source: RNAcentral
AGAAAUGGAUGCCCCAUGCUUGGAGAC